RNAcentral lists this ribosomal RNA (427 nucleotides) under uncultured bacterium. RNAcentral describes it as "bacterial SSU rRNA". It matches the Rfam family "Bacterial small subunit ribosomal RNA", at positions 968 to 1395 of the family's 1533-position model. The record is from RNAcentral.
ACCUUACCCAGGUUUGACAUGCUUUCGACCGGCGUUGAAAGACGCCCUUCCCUCGGGACGGAAGCACAGAUGCUGCAUGGCUGUGUCAGCUCGUGCCGUGAGGUGUUGGGUUAAGUCCCGCAACGAGCGCAACCCCUGCCGUCAGUUGCCAUCAGGUAAUGGUGGGGACUCUGGGGGGACCGCCCGUGUCAAGCGGGAGGAAGGGGGGGAUGACGUCAAGUCCGUAUGGCUCUUACACCUGGGGCCGCAAACGUGCUACAAUGGCGGGUACAAUGGGCAGCGAGUCCGCGAGGGGCGAGCGAACCCCCAAAGCCCGCCCCAGUUCGGAUUGCAGCCUGCAACUCGGCUGCAUGAAGUCGGAAUCGCUAGUAAAGGGACAUCAGCCACGGUCCCUUGAAUACGUUCCCGGGUCUUGUACACACCGAAC